This is a long non-coding RNA of Mercenaria mercenaria, 3485 nucleotides long. RefSeq lists it as uncharacterized. The record is from RefSeq and is a predicted model, not a curated record. Lineage: Eukaryota; Metazoa; Mollusca; Bivalvia; Venerida; Veneridae. The transcript has 2 exons.
AAAUAUUUCUUUUCUCAAUUCAUUGUAUAAUAGCUAGUGUUCAGGUAUUUUUUAUUAUACUUCUUUACAAGAUAUAUGUGCUGUUAUUUGAUGCUGGAUUGUAAAAAGUUUCUUUCAUUAUUGUCAAAGUUUAGUUUAAAUUGGCUUAUUUAAUAUCAUCUUUAUACUGAUAUAUGUACUAUAAUGUUUGAUUUAUGUAUAUGUGAACCUAGGGGAAAUGGCUUUACAUUUUCAUCCAUUGGAUGUUUUUUUGAUUAUCUUUAGUUAAUGUAUACUUUGGAGAUCCCAAGGGAGGUAAUAGUUCACAUGCAAUGAUUGUUAUAAGACAUUAGAAGCAGGAGUUGCUUCCCUUUAUACAGCUUGUGGCUAUAGAAGCAGUUUUUACCUAAGUAUAAACAUCAUUAUUUAUAUUGUAAUAUGUUAGAGUGUCUCUGUUAUCAUUAAACAAGCAUGAAAACUGGUCAUUUUGUGGUUUUGUAACAGCAUUACUUUUUAAAUAAUUUUGAAGAAAAUUUAAACCAUAAUUAAAUGAAAGUAUUCUAGAAAUGUAGGGCUGUAAGUUGAUUAGGGAAGGGGUGGCCACUCCAUUCCAGGUUAUGAAAAAGAAUAAGAAAAUUAAAAAAAUUGUAAAGCACACAAAAUUUCAUUGAAAGGCAAAUAUUAUUAAUUUAUAUUACUUUUAAUACAUGUGCUACCAUCUAACAUGUCAUAUAUUUAUGAUCUGGGGCAAAAUUUGUUAAAAUUUUGAGUGUCUGUACAUGCUUCUUGGAAGCAAAUUUUAUAAAUUUCUUCUGUACAAGGAAAACAGCAUUCUGAUAACUUCAGUGCUUUCAUGUAAUGUUUUUGUUGCUUUGAAUUUAACCCUUAUCAUGCUGGACAGGAUCAAUUCUGCCUUUGCAACCAGUGUAGAUCAUGAUCAGCCUGCACAUCCGUGCAGUCUGAUCAUGAUCUACACUGUUCGCCAUUCUGUCAGUAUGUUUUUUGGUGAUCACCCCUUUUAACAGUUAAUAGUACUUUCCAAAUUGAAAGAUGGAUAAGUUCAUUAUAGAAAUUUAGCAGGGUAAGGGUUAAAUAGAAGAUCAGUUUUCAUGGAGGGGAUAAUCAUCAACUCUGCACAAGAUACUAUAUAUUUUCAUUUAUAAGACACACUUGUUUAUAAGACGCACCCCAACAUCGCAUAUGCAACCUAGGGUUUCUUUUUCUUUUAAUUCUCUUGUAGUACACCCCACUCUUUGAACUGGAAAUAUGACUGCUAAUAAUGUGUCUUAUAAGUGAAAAAAUACAGUACAUGCUUCUUUAAGUCAAUAUAGUUACCCACAUUUAGCGCUGAAAUAGCGUCAUUAUAUAUUGUUUGUAUAUAGUAAAUACUCAUUGUACCAAAGCAGAUUAUUUAUUGUUCAUUAUGUCUCUAUUGUUGUUUACAUUUCUGUAUAAAUGUAUAUUCUCAGCUAUUUCCAUUUUUAUAAUUAUAAUAUUUACUACUUUAUGUAAUUGAACCCGUGUAGAUGUAAUUUCCCAUUAAGCUAUAUUGAUGUAUGUCUUAUUAAAGAUACCCAGGUAUUUUUCUGUUAUUUCACCAAAAUUUAAACACUUAUGACAAUAGAUGAUUUAUAACUUGAGUGAUAAAUGGUAAUUAAUAUGUUUACGUAUAAAAAAAACAACAGCACAAUGAUGCAUUGUCGCUGUAGUAGAUGAAUUGAUUUUUCUGUACAUUAAUACAGAUUCUGCCCAGCAUUGUGGCUGCAAACCAGUCUUGCUGCAGAGAAAAAUAGGAUUUUAUGCAUUUUCUCUGAAUAGCACUUAUUUCUCAAAUUAGUUUUUUUUGCAUUUUCAUAUUUAGCUAGAGAAACUUAAGGUCUCAUCGGAGUCUUAAAUCUUUGCUUUGGUGCUUCUUAAUACUGCUGUACAUUUACAAAAACGAAUUGAUUUUAUAUCCUAGUUUUGUAACAUUUAUAUUGUAUAGAUUUUGCCUAUUGUCAAGGAAGUAAGAAAUGGCCUAAAAAAAUUAUUUCAUAAAUCCCAUUAUAGAAACAUAUUAAGAUUAUUAUAUUGUAUAUUGCAAUACAAGAUGUAAAUGCAUUAUACAGGUAGGGAUCAACCUAAUUAUCAUCCUCAAUAUCAUCGUCAUCAGCAUCAGUAUUAUAACCACUAUCAUCAACAUCAUUAUCAUCAUCACCAUCAUCUUUUAAAACAUUCAAUUGUCAAUAUUCAGUUUUGAAAAUGGCUUGCCCAACUGUGUCGCCUCUAUAAAUAAAGUCGUUAUUAUUAUUAUUAUUAAUUCAAUUGUUAUUAAUCCAGCAUCAUUAUUAGUCAAAUAUUAUGUUAGAAUCCUCAUCACAUCAUCAUCACAUCACAUCAUCAUCAUCAAUGUCAUCAAUUUUAUCAUUCUGUAUGUUGUUGCAAAUUGGUAUUUCCAGCGUCAAUGAGAUUAGUUUUGUAAAAGAAAUCUUGCCUAGUUGAUUGUUGUUAAGAAAUGAACCCUAGUACCAACAUUCAUCAUCAUCAUCAUCAUCAUCAUCUUCUUCAUCAUCAUCAUUCAUGUGAUGUUUACUUUUCUGAUGGUGCUUAGUGCUGACCAAUGGAAAUCUCAUUUUGCUUUGUUAGUAUAGUUAAACAUGAUAGUUUAUAUAUUUUGUUGUAACUAAAUUAUCUACGUCAUUUUGAUGCUAUAUGAUUUGUUGAUUAAAAAUCUUUCCUAUGAUUUUAUGUCUAAUUGAAGGAAGAACCACUCGAAACAUUAAAUACACUGAAAGAUAUUUCAAGGUCUGAUCAUUAUUUGAAAAUUAAUAUCAGUGUAAAGUUUCUUUCUCUGCGUCUGAAAAUGUUAAUACAGAUCUUUUUUUUAUAUUCAUAAGGUAAAAGUUAUGUGUUUAAAAUUAACUUUAAAUUUCAGUUUUGCAAGAUGUUUAGCUUUAUUCAACAGCAUAAUUUCUUAUACUUUUUCUAGUAUGUUUGUAACUUUUUUCUUAGAAGUGAAUUCUAAAUAUGCAGUUUUGAAAAUGGAUCAUUUUGUUCUUGAAAAGGAAUGAUAUUUCAAAAUAUAAACAGAUGGGUCAUCUUCAUGCGACACUUGACAAUUUUACAAAGUUUGUUUUUGUUCUUAUUUUGUUGAGAUCAUACUAUAGGUUGAAGUUUAAGUAAAGUGUUAUCCAGUCAUGUUUCUUGCAGAACUGUGUAUGCCUGUUGUACACAUGUUUAUAUUGACUGCUUUCGAAACUACAGUCAGAUAGCUUGCCGAGCAUCAUUGACUUGAGCACCAAGGCUCGCUCAAGUAAUUUGAAUGGUCCUUGACUGUUCCAUAUAAUAUUAUUUUCCAUGUUAGAAUUGCUGGACAACUGGAUAACUCCCAACAUUUUGUGCAUCCACUUUGACUUCAGUUGAUCUAUAUUUUACUGUAUUUAUUAUUUUGAUACAAACUUUGUUCUUUGUACAAAUAUUAUAUGGUUAUUUUUGUUCUCUAGAUCACAUUAAAAUCUUUAAAUCUA